Pieris brassicae (large cabbage white) is the source of this 1021-nucleotide long non-coding RNA. RefSeq lists it as uncharacterized. The transcript is spliced from 2 exons. NCBI's taxonomy places the organism in Eukaryota, Metazoa, Arthropoda, Insecta, Lepidoptera, Pieridae. The record is from RefSeq and is a predicted model, not a curated record.
UAUUGUUACUUAAGCUAAAACAUUGUUUGGAUUUCAUUAAACUUUUUGUGAAAUACCGCAAUUUAAGUCCCCGCCUUUUAUAUGAAAACCGGUCGAGCCGCGACUUUUAAAGAGUUUUAUAUAUAUCUAUAAAUUUAGGUUGGUGCCAGUGAGAUAGUAUUGGUGACCCUAGACCUGGUGCUUUCCUUGCUCAACGAAUAAGUAUCGCAACACAGCGAGGAAAUGCUGCCAGCGUAAAAGAUAUAAUAUCUGAUCUCGAUGGAACAAAGCGCGCAGUUUAACGCUUCCCAGAAUUGUAUGAAAUCUCGUGCAGUACUUUAGUAAUCACUAAGAUCAUUAGUAUAGAAUUUACUCAAUUUUUGAUGAUAUUAUAACAAAAUCUAUUUCGUAAAAUUAAAAGAGUUGAAGAACCGUGUAAAGUAGUCAAAAUAAGGAUUUUGACAUUAUUUUUAUGGAAAAUUGGUGUAUUAUGAAAAUUGUAUUUUUCUUUUAUAAAAGAAGUCCUUUAGCUGAAGUUAUAUUAAGUUGUAGUUUUAAAAGCAUGUUUAAAAUAUACUUUAGCACUUAAGUCAAUUCUGUUCGCAGUCUCUGGCUUGGUCCCAAUUCAAACUGGGCUAAAUGCAAUUUGAAUAAUACUUAAAAGCUAGCCUGAAACUGGCUCGUGGAAAUCGUUGUUAGAAUCGUAGAUAUUAUGCUAAUAAGUGGCAUUUCAAAAUGAGGAAUGAGAGAUUUAUAUUAUAUUUUACUUAUAUAUAAUAUAACGAUUUAUAUUGUCCCUCAUGGAGCGGGAGUCUGGGCGGGAGCUCAAAGGUUUGCCCUCUGUUAUAUAAAUAAAAAAAUAUAUUUAUAUAUAUAUAUAAAUAGAUACCUACAAUCCUGACUUGAUAUUAACCGCUGUAUUAUGGGACUGCUUUACUAUUAGAUAUAUCAUAUACAAGUUACUAUUAUUAUUAGUCGAUGUUAUCGUAUCUGUAUGCCACAGUUGACAAUAAUUUAAAUUAAACUAAAUAAUUGUCGCGAA